This 41-nucleotide transfer RNA is filed under the name Zebrias zebra (zebra sole). Its description in RNAcentral is "partial tRNA-Pro". Lineage: Eukaryota; Metazoa; Chordata; Actinopteri; Pleuronectiformes; Soleidae. The record is from RNAcentral.
ACUCCCAAAGCUAGGAUUCUCUAUUAAACUACUUUCUGUAA